This 852-nucleotide ribosomal RNA is filed under the name Wolbachia endosymbiont of Allocosa alticeps. RNAcentral describes it as "bacterial SSU rRNA". It matches the Rfam family "Bacterial small subunit ribosomal RNA", at positions 93 to 983 of the family's 1533-position model. The record is from RNAcentral. Lineage: Bacteria; Pseudomonadati; Pseudomonadota; Alphaproteobacteria; Rickettsiales; Anaplasmataceae.
UAGUGGCAGACGGGUGAGUAAUGUAUAGGAAUCUACCUAGUAGUACGGAAUAAUUGUUGGAAACGGCAACUAAUACCGUAUACGCCCUAGGGGGGAAAAAUUUAUUGCUAUUAGAUGAGCCUAUAUUAGAUUAGUUAGUUGGUGAGGUAAAGGCUUACCAAGACAAUGAUCUAUAGCUGAUCUGAGAGGAUGAUCAGCCACACUGGAACUGAGAUACGGUCCAGACUCCUACGGGAGGCAGCAGUGGGGAAUAUUGGACAAUGGGCGAAAGCCUGAUCCAGCCAUGCCGCAUGAGUGAAGAAGGCCUUUGGGUUGUAAAGCUCUUUUAGUGAGGAAGAUAAUGACGGUACUCACAGAAGAAGUCCUGGCUAACUCCGUGCCAGCAGCCGCGGUAAUACGGAGAGGGCUAGCGUUAUUCGGAAUCAUUGGGCGUAAAGGGCGCGUAGGCGGGUUAGUAAGUUAAAAGUGAAAUCCCAAGGCUCAACCUUGGAACUGCUUUUAAAACUGCUAGUCUAGAGAUUGAAAGAGGAUAGAGGAAUUCCUAGUGUAGAGGUGAAAUUCGUAAAUAUUAGGAGGAACACCAGUGGCGAAAGCGUCUAUCUGGUUCAAAUCUGACGCUGAGGCGCGAAGGCGUGGGGAGCAAACAGGAUUAGAUACCCUGGUAGUCCACGCUGUAAACGAUGAAUGUUAAAUAUGGGAAGUUUACUUUCUGUAUUAUAGCUAACGCGUUAAACAUUCCGCCUGGGGACUACGGUCGCAAGAUUAAAACUCAAAGGAAUUGACGGGGACCCGCACAAGCGGUGGAGCAUGUGGUUUAAUUCGAUGCAACGCGAAAAACCUUACCACUCCUUG